Molecule: ribosomal RNA, 69 nt
Filed under: Treponema denticola
Lineage: Bacteria; Pseudomonadati; Spirochaetota; Spirochaetia; Treponematales; Treponemataceae
Description: partial 16S ribosomal RNA
Source: RNAcentral
UAAUACCGAAUGUGCUCAUUUACAUAAAGGUAAAUGAGGAAAGGAGCUACGGCUCCGCUUCAGGAUGGG